RNAcentral lists this ribosomal RNA (792 nucleotides) under uncultured bacterium. Its description in RNAcentral is "bacterial SSU rRNA". It matches the Rfam family "Bacterial small subunit ribosomal RNA", at positions 572 to 1358 of the family's 1533-position model. The record is from RNAcentral.
UAGGUGGUGUGUCGCGUCGUCCGUGAAAACUCACAGCUUAACUGUGGGCGUGCGGGCGAUACGGGCAGACUUGAGUACUGCAGGGGAGACUGGAAUUCCUGGUGUAGCGGUGGAAUGCGCAGAUAUCAGGAGGAACACCGGUGGCGAAGGCGGGUCUCUGGGCAGUAACUGACGCUGAGGAGCGAAAGCGUGGGGAGCGAACAGGAUUAGAUACCCUGGUAGUCCACGCCGUAAACGGUGGGUACUAGGUGUGGGUUUCCUUCCUUGGGAUCCGUGCCGUAGCUAACGCAUUAAGUACCCCGCCUGGGGAGUACGGCCGCAAGGCUAAAACUCAAAGAAAUUGACGGGGGCCCGCACAAGCGGCGGAGCAUGUGGAUUAAUUCGAUGCAACGCGAAGAACCUUACCUGGGUUUGACAUGCACAGGACGACUGCAGAGAUGUGGUUUCCCUUGUGGCCUGUGUGCAGGUGGUGCAUGGCUGUCGUCAGCUCGUGUCGUGAGAUGUUGGGUUAAGUCCCGCAACGAGCGCAACCCUUGUCUCAUGUUGCCAGCGCGUUAUAUCGCGGAGAUCUCGUGAGAGACUGCCGGGGUCAACUCGGAGGAAGGUGGGGAUGACGUCAAGUCAUCAUGCCCCUUAUGUCCAGGGCUUCACACAUGCUACAAUGGCCGGUACAAAGGGCUGCGAUGCCGUGAGGUGGAGCGAAUCCUUUCAAAGCCGGUCUCAGUUCGGAUCGGGGUCUGCAACUCGACCCCGUGAAGUCGGAGUCGCUAGUAAUCGCAGAUCAGCAACGCU